CCUACGGGGGGCUGCAGUAGGGAAUCUUCCACAAUGGGCGCAAGCCUGAUGGAGCAACACCGCGUGCGUGAAGAAGGGUUUCGGCUCGUCAAGCUCUGUUGUUAAAGAAGAACACGUAUGAGAGUUACUGUUCAUACGUUGACGGUAUUUAACCCGAAAGUCACGGCUAACUACGUGCCAGCAGCCGCGGUAAUACGUAGGUGGCAAGCGUUAUCCGGAUUUAUUGGGCAUAAAGAGAGUGCAGGCGGUUUUCUAAGUCUGAUGUGAAAGCCUUCGGCUUAACCGGAGAAGUGCAUCGGAAACUGGAUAACUUGAGUGCAGAAGAGGGUAGUGGAACUCCAUGUGUAGCGGUGGAAGGCGUAGAUAUAUGGAAGAACACCAGUGGCGAAGGCGGCUACCUGGUCUGCAACUGACGCUGAGACUCGAAAGCAUGGGUAGCGAACAGGAUUAGAUACCCUGGUAGUC
RNAcentral lists this ribosomal RNA (465 nucleotides) under uncultured Lactobacillus sp. Its description in RNAcentral is "bacterial SSU rRNA". It matches the Rfam family "Bacterial small subunit ribosomal RNA", at positions 338 to 795 of the family's 1533-position model. Lineage: Bacteria; Bacillati; Bacillota; Bacilli; Lactobacillales; Lactobacillaceae. The record is from RNAcentral.